Molecule: unclassified non-coding RNA, 276 nt
Filed under: plant metagenome
Description: partial contains small subunit ribosomal RNA, internal transcribed spacer 1, and 5.8S ribosomal RNA
Source: RNAcentral
UUUCCGUAGGUGAACCUGCGGAAGGAUCAUUACUGAGUUAUGUCCCUUUGUGUCCAACCGCCCACCCAUUCUUAUUAUUCUUUGUUACUUCGUUGAUCCCUCCUCACGGCCUCCAUGGGACAUAUCCCCCCUGGCCUCCUCCAACCCAAAACACCUAGAACUCUGUAUGAAAAUUUCAGUAUGUGCAAAAACUAAAUAAGUUAAAACUUUAAACAGCAGAUCUCUUGGUUCCUGCAUCUAUGAAAAACGCAGCAGAUCUGCACAGCACAUGGCUGA